AUCGCUUCUUGGCCUUUUGGCCAAGAUCAAGUGUAGAAUGGAUAGACCAGUGGCCUGACUUGUCAGCUUCCUAUUUCUUUGGUUGUUAUCAUGAGGACUAGAAACAUUUUUAAGGGAAAAGUUAUAGUUCAGUGGUGGAGCAUGCUUUGCAUGGUACCCAUUUGAAAUCUGAAUGAACACCAAUGCCCU
Podarcis lilfordi (Lilford's wall lizard) is the source of this 189-nucleotide non-coding RNA. Lineage: Eukaryota; Metazoa; Chordata; Lepidosauria; Squamata; Lacertidae. The record is from the annotation of a GenBank genome assembly.